RNAcentral lists this transfer RNA (76 nucleotides) under Blattabacterium sp. (Nauphoeta cinerea). RNAcentral's name for it is "tRNA-Val". The stretch from base 1 to 51 matches the Rfam family "tRNA", at positions 22 to 71 of the family's 71-position model. Rfam says of the family: Transfer RNA (tRNA) molecules are approximately 80 nucleotides in length. Their secondary structure includes four short double-helical elements and three loops (D, anti-codon, and T loops). The record is from RNAcentral. Lineage: Bacteria; Pseudomonadati; Bacteroidota; Flavobacteriia; Flavobacteriales; Blattabacteriaceae.
AGCGCUACUUUGACAGAGUAGAGGACAUCGGUUCAAAUCCGAUAGUGUCCAUAUAUAUAUACAUAAUUAUUUAUUA